CCUACGGGAGGCAGCAGUGGGGAAUAUUGCACAAUGGGCGCAAGCCUGAUGCAGCCAUGCCGCGUGAGCGAUGAAGGCCUUCGGGUCGUAAAGCUCUGUCCUCAAGGACGAUAAUGACGAUACUUGAGGAGGAAGCCCCGGAAAACUACGUGCCAGCAGCCGCGGUAAUACGUAGGGGGCUAGCGUUAUCCGGAAUUACUGGGCGAAAAGGGUGCGUAGGGGGUUUCUUAAGUCAGAGGUGAAAGGCUACGGCUCAACCGUAGUAAGCCUUUGAAACUGGGAAACUUGAGUGCAGGAGAGGAGAGUGGAAUUCCUAGUGUAGCGGUGAAAUGCGUAGAGAUGAGGAGGAACACCAGUGGCGAAGGCGGCUCUCUGGACUGGAACUGACACUGAUGUACGAAAGCGUGGGGAGCAAACAGGAUUAGAUACCCCUGUAGUC
This 439-nucleotide ribosomal RNA is filed under the name uncultured bacterium. RNAcentral describes it as "partial 16S ribosomal RNA". It matches the Rfam family "Bacterial small subunit ribosomal RNA", at positions 338 to 795 of the family's 1533-position model. The record is from RNAcentral.